RNAcentral lists this ribosomal RNA (253 nucleotides) under uncultured bacterium. RNAcentral's name for it is "partial 16S ribosomal RNA". It matches the Rfam family "Bacterial small subunit ribosomal RNA", at positions 524 to 776 of the family's 1533-position model. The record is from RNAcentral.
UACAGAGGGUGCAAGCGUUAAUCGGAAUUACUGGGCGUAAAGCGCGCGUAGGUGGUUUGUUAAGUUGGAUGUGAAAUCCCCGGGCUCAACCUGGGAACUGCAUUCAAAACUGACAAGCUAGAGUAUGGUAGAGGGUGGUGGAAUUUCCUGUGUAGCGGUGAAAUGCGUAGAUAUAGGAAGGAACACCAGUGGCGAAGGCGACAACCUGGACUGAUACUGACACUGAGGUGCGAAAGCGUGGGGAGCAAACAGG